ACCUACGGGGCGCAGCAGUGGGGAAUAUUGCACAAUGGGGGAAACCCUGAUGCAGCGACGCCGCGUGAGUGAAGAAGAAUUUCGGUAUGUAAAGCUCUAUCAGCAGGGAAGAUAAUGACGGUACCUGAGUAAGAAGCCCCGGCUAACUACGUGCCCGCAGCCGCGGUAAUACGUAGGGGGCAAGCGUUAUCCGGAUUUACUGGGUGUAAAGGGAGCGUAGACGGCAUGGCAAGUCUGAAGUGAAAGCCCGGGGCUCAACCGCGGAACUGCUUUGG
This 275-nucleotide ribosomal RNA is filed under the name uncultured bacterium. RNAcentral describes it as "partial 16S ribosomal RNA". It matches the Rfam family "Bacterial small subunit ribosomal RNA", at positions 337 to 629 of the family's 1533-position model. The record is from RNAcentral.